RNAcentral lists this microRNA precursor (101 nucleotides) under Chlorocebus sabaeus (green monkey). Its description in RNAcentral is "miRNA (ENSCSAG00000026632.1)". The record is from RNAcentral. Lineage: Eukaryota; Metazoa; Chordata; Mammalia; Primates; Cercopithecidae.
UAGUAAGUUGGUGCAAAAGUAAUUGUGGUUUUUGACAUUACCAAAAUUUUUUGCUAUUACAAUACCAAAAACCUCAAUUACUUUUGCACCACCCUAAUACU